RNAcentral lists this ribosomal RNA (447 nucleotides) under uncultured bacterium. RNAcentral describes it as "bacterial SSU rRNA". It matches the Rfam family "Bacterial small subunit ribosomal RNA", at positions 355 to 825 of the family's 1533-position model. The record is from RNAcentral.
UGGGGAAUAUUGGACAAUGGGCGCAAGCCUGAUCCAGCCAUGCCGCGUGAGUGACGAAGGUCUUCGGAUUGUAAAACUCUUUUGGCGGGGACGAUAAUGACGGUACCCGCAGAAUAAGCCCCGGCUAACUUCGUGCCAGCAGCCGCGGUAAUACGAAGGGGGCUAGCGUUGUUCGGAAUCACUGGGCGUAAAGCGCACGUAGGCGGAUGUGCCAGUCAGGGGUGAAAUCCCGGAGCUCAACUCCGGAACUGCCUCUGAUACUGCACGUCUUGAGUUCGAGAGAGGUGGGUGGAAUUCCUAGUGUAGAGGUGAAAUUCGUAGAUAUUAGGAAGAACACCGGUGGCGAAGGCGGCCCACUGGCUCGAUACUGACGCUGAGGUGCGAAAGCGUGGGGAGCAAACAGGAUUAGAUACCCCGGUAGUCCCUGAGCGGGCUGGCAAGGCGCAU